UACGUAGGCAGCAAGCGUUGUUCGGAGUUACUGGGCGUAAAGGGUGUGUAGGCGGUUAUUUAAGUUUGGUGUGAAAUCUCCCGGCUCAACCGGGAGGGUGCGCCGAAUACUGAAUGACUUGGAGUGCGGGAGAGGAAAGUGGAAUUCCUGGUGUAGCGGUGAAAUGCGUAGAUAUCAGGAGGAACACCGGUGGUGUAGACGGCAUCCUGGCCCUGUACUGACGCUGAGGCGCGAUAGCGUGGGGAGCAAACGGG
RNAcentral lists this ribosomal RNA (254 nucleotides) under uncultured bacterium. RNAcentral describes it as "partial 16S ribosomal RNA". It matches the Rfam family "Bacterial small subunit ribosomal RNA", at positions 524 to 776 of the family's 1533-position model. The record is from RNAcentral.